GGAGAGUCUCUCAGCUGGUACAGUUUUAGAGCUAGAAAUAGCAAGUUAAAAUAAGGCUAGUCCGUUAUCAACUUGAAAAAGUGA
This 84-nucleotide unclassified non-coding RNA is filed under the name synthetic construct. RNAcentral describes it as "sgRNA from synthetic construct (PDB 7OX8, chain A)". The record is from RNAcentral.